Long non-coding RNA from Canis lupus familiaris (dog), 816 nucleotides. RefSeq lists it as uncharacterized. The record is from RefSeq and is a predicted model, not a curated record. NCBI's taxonomy places the organism in Eukaryota, Metazoa, Chordata, Mammalia, Carnivora, Canidae. The transcript is spliced from 3 exons.
UUUGGGAAAGCAUUUUGUGGUACUUGUAAAAUAAUAGAAGAAAAAGUGACUAGCCAGUAUUUUUUUUCUAAAGGAUAUAAAAUAAUUUCAGCCACAAAAAACAUGUAACUUUAGCUUUCCUAGGAUGUGUUGGUAAUACAAAAUAUCAAAGUUAUCAUGGAAAUGAUAAAACAAUAUAGCUUGACCCCAAUUUCCAGCCCUUUGGAGUUUCUUGGUUUACAAAUCCUGUCUCAGUUUACAUGUUCUCCUGCCCUGUCUUGUCUUGCUCAGUGGUACUAAUCAAGGUUCAGACACCUAGUGGCCUCCAUCUACAUUUGUUGCUGCUUAUCUUGAUCUUUUUUCUGGGAUGUCACCUUGGCAUUGAUGAUGUGGAAGUCAUUCCAUUCCUGGAACCAAUUGUCAUGCUUAUUGAAGUAGGAGAAAGUUCUAUAUUCUCAUUUGGCUUCUUCUUCUUCUUCUUUUUUAAGAUUUCCUUCUUAAAUAAUCUCUACACUCGAUGUAGGGCUCCAAUCCCAAGAUCAAGAGUCACAUGCUCUACUAACUGAGUCAGCGAGACAACCCUCUUUUAGCUUCUUAAAGAAUCUAAGCUUUUAGUUUCCUUUCUGAGAAGCUAUAGACAAGUCCUUGGGGCUGGAGAAGAAGCCAUCCAAGGGCUGUUUUAAGAGUACUCCAGAGUGAUAGCCAGCAAUACUGACCUUUUUCUAUAAGAUAUUGUCCAUUUCUAGUUGGGAGAAAUUGCAAAGCACUCAAGAACAAAAAUCACUUGGAAAUCAGACAAGGGCCAACAAACUUGUUCUCUCUCCACCCUGGCCACAG